RNAcentral lists this ribosomal RNA (253 nucleotides) under uncultured bacterium. Its description in RNAcentral is "partial 16S ribosomal RNA". It matches the Rfam family "Bacterial small subunit ribosomal RNA", at positions 524 to 776 of the family's 1533-position model. The record is from RNAcentral.
UACAGAGGGGGCAAGUGUUGUUCGGAAUUACUGGGCGUAAAGGGCGCGUAGGCGGCCGCCUAAGUCAGACGUGAAAUCCCUCGGCUCAACCGGGGAACUGCGUCUGAUACUGGGUGGCUUGAAUCCGGGAGAGGGAUGCGGAAUUCCAGGUGUAGCGGUGAAAUGCGUAGAUAUCUGGAGGAACACCGGUGGCGAAGGCGGCAUCCUGGACCGGCAUUGACACUGAGGCGCGAAAGCCAGGGGAGCAAACGGG